AAGUCGUAACAAGGUUUCCGUAGGUGAACCUGCGGAAGGAUCAUUAUUGAAAUAAACCUGAUGGGUUGCUGCUGGCUCUCUCGGGAGCAUGUGCACACUUGUCAUCUUUAUAUCUCCACCUGUGCACCUUUUGUAGAUCUGGAUAUCUUUCUGAAUGCCUGCAUUCAGGUUUGAGGAUUGACUUGUCUUUCCUUACAUUUCCAGGCCUAUGUUUCUUCAUAUACACCAUGUAUGUUAUAGAAUGUAAUGAAAAGGGCCUUUGUGCCUACAAACUUAUACAACUUUCAGCAACGGAUCUCUUGGCUCUC
Molecule: unclassified non-coding RNA, 308 nt
Filed under: Cortinarius ominosus
Lineage: Eukaryota; Fungi; Basidiomycota; Agaricomycetes; Agaricales; Cortinariaceae
Description: partial internal transcribed spacer region
Rfam family: Eukaryotic small subunit ribosomal RNA (bases 1-46)
Source: RNAcentral